Molecule: transfer RNA, 71 nt
Filed under: Loxodonta africana (African savanna elephant)
Lineage: Eukaryota; Metazoa; Chordata; Mammalia; Proboscidea; Elephantidae
Rfam family: tRNA
About the family: Transfer RNA (tRNA) molecules are approximately 80 nucleotides in length. Their secondary structure includes four short double-helical elements and three loops (D, anti-codon, and T loops). Further hydrogen bonds mediate the characteristic L-shaped molecular structure. tRNAs have two regions of fundamental functional importance: the anti-codon, which is responsible for specific mRNA codon recognition, and the 3' end, to which the tRNAs corresponding amino acid is attached (by aminoacyl-tRNA synthetases). tRNAs cope with the degeneracy of the genetic code in two manners: having more than one tRNA (with a specific anti-codon) for a particular amino acid; and 'wobble' base-pairing, i.e. permitting non-standard base-pairing at the 3rd anti-codon position.
Source: Rfam by way of RNAcentral
GCAGCGGUGGUUCAGGGGUAGAAUUCUCGCCUUCUUUGCAGGAGAUCGUGGUUCAAUUCCUAGCUGAUGCA